Molecule: ribosomal RNA, 682 nt
Filed under: uncultured Alphaproteobacteria bacterium
Lineage: Bacteria; Pseudomonadati; Pseudomonadota; Alphaproteobacteria
Description: bacterial SSU rRNA
Rfam family: Bacterial small subunit ribosomal RNA
Source: RNAcentral
GCCUAAUACAUGCAAGUCGAGCGCACCUUCGGGUGAGCGGCGGACGGGUGAGUAACGCGUGGGAACGUGCCCUUUGGUUCGGAACAACACAGGGAAACUUGUGCUAAUACCGAAUGUGCCCUUCGGGGGAAAGAUUUAUCGCCAUUGGAGCGGCCCGCGUUGGAUUAGCUAGUUGGUGGGGUAAAGGCCCACCAAGGCGACGAUCCAUAGCUGGUCUGAGAGGAUGAUCAGCCACACUGGGACUGAGACACGGCCCAGACUCCUACGGGAGGCAGCAGUAGGGAAUCUUGCGCAAUGGGCGAAAGCCUGACGCAGCCAUGCCGCGUGAAUGAUGAAGGUCUUAGGAUUGUAAAAUUCUUUCACCGGGGAAGAUAAUGACGGUACCCGGAGAAGAAGCCCCGGCUAACUUCGUGCCAGCAGCCGCGGUAAUACGAAGGGGGCUAGCGUUGCUCGGAAUUACUGGGCGUAAAGGGCGCGUAGGCGGACAGUUUAGUCAGAGGUGAAAGCCCAGGGCUCAACCUUGGAACUGCCUUUGAUACUGGCUGUCUUGAGUUCGGGAGAGGUGAGUGGAAUGCCGAGUGUAGAGGUGAAAUUCGUAGAUAUUCGGCGGAACACCAGUGGCGAAGGCGACUCACUGGCCCGAUACUGACGCUGAGGCGCGAAAGCGUGGGGAGCAAACAGG